This 522-nucleotide long non-coding RNA is filed under the name Mytilus galloprovincialis (Mediterranean mussel). Lineage: Eukaryota; Metazoa; Mollusca; Bivalvia; Mytilida; Mytilidae. The record is from RNAcentral.
CAUCAUUUCUGUGGUAGCUAUGAUGGUGACAUCGACUGAUUACAGUAGAAAAUUGUCAUGUUUCAGAUGUAACUAAGGAUGCACAUAGGCGACCUCUAACAAGUUCACAUUGAAAACUAGUAUUUGUCAUGUUUCAAUUGCAACAAAGGAUGCACAUAGGCGAUCUCUAACAAGUUCACAAUGAAAGCCAGUCAUCCGUAAGCAACCGUCAUGUUCCACUGCAACUAAGGAUGCACAUAGGCGAUCUCUAACAAGUUCACAAGCGAAAUCUUGUCGAAUUUCUCUUGUAAAAAACUUUUGCUCAUAGCAGCAGUUAUUUACAGUCUAAAAUUCUCGUAUUGUUGUCAUAUUUCAGCUGAAUAAACUGUGGAUGCACAAAGUGCCACACAUUUACACACUGAAACACGUAAAUCGUCGUAUUUUCUACUGUAAGCAUCCAAUGCACAUCACAACUUCAACACUGGGCAAAUGGCUAGGUACUAUACUUUCUGCAACAACACGUCCUCUCCCAAAGCAGUCGAU